This 406-nucleotide ribosomal RNA is filed under the name uncultured bacterium. Its description in RNAcentral is "partial 16S ribosomal RNA". It matches the Rfam family "Bacterial small subunit ribosomal RNA", at positions 30 to 526 of the family's 1533-position model. The record is from RNAcentral.
AUUGAACGCUGGCGGCAGGCCUAACACAUGCAAGUCGAACGAGUGGCGGACGGGUGAGUAAUGUCUGGGAAACUGCCCGAUGGGGGGGGAUAACUACUGGAAACGGUAGCUAAUACCGCAUACCAUCGGAUGUGCCCAGAUGGGAUUAGCUAGGAGGUGGGGUAACGGCUACCCUAGGCGACGAUCCCUAGCUGGUCUGAGAGGCUGACCGGCCAGAAUGGAACUGAGACACGGUCCAGACACCUACGCGAGGCAGCAGUGUGGAAUAUUGCACAAUGGGCGCAAGCCUGAUGCAGCCAUGCCGCGUGUAUGAAGAAGGCCUUCGGGUUGUAAAGUACUUUCAGCGAGGAGGCGUUACUCGCAGAAGAAGCACCGGCUAACUCCGUGCCAGCAGCCGCGGUAAUAC